CGUAGGGUGCGAGCGUUAAUCGGAAUUACUGGGCGUAAAGCGUGCGCAGGCGGUUUUGUAAGACAGAUGUGAAAUCCCCGGGCUCAACCUGGGACCUGCCUUUGUGACUGCAUAGCUAGAGUACGGCAGAGGGGGAUGGAAUUCCGCGUGUAGCAGUGAAAUGCGUAGAUAUGCGGAGGAACACCGAUGGCGAAGGCAAUCCCCUGGGCCUGUACUGACGCUCAUGCACGAAAGCGUGGGGAGCAAACAGGAUUAGAUACCCUGGUAGUCCACGCCCUAAACGAUGUCAACUGGUUGUUGGGUCUUCACUGACUCAGUAACGAAGCUAACGCGUGAAGUUGACCGCCUGGGGAGUACGGCCGCAAGGUUG
RNAcentral lists this ribosomal RNA (370 nucleotides) under uncultured organism. Its description in RNAcentral is "bacterial SSU rRNA". It matches the Rfam family "Bacterial small subunit ribosomal RNA", at positions 526 to 896 of the family's 1533-position model. The record is from RNAcentral.